GAUGAACGCUGGCGGCGUGCCUAAUACAUGCAAGUCGAGCGAACAGACGAGGAGCUUGCUCCUCUGACGUUAGCGGCGGACGGGUGAGUAACACGUGGAUAACCUACCUAUAAGACUGGUAUAACUUCGGGAAACCGGAGCUAAUACCGGAUAAUAUAUUGAACCGCAUGGUUCAAUAGUGAAAUACGGUUUUGCUGUCACUUAUAGAUGGAUCCGCGCCGCAUUAGAUAGUUGGUAAGGUAACGGCUUACCAAGGCAACGAUGCGUAGCCGACCUGAGAGGGUGAUAGGCCACACUGGAACUGAGACACGGUCAAGACUCCUACGGGAGGCAGCAGUAGGGAAUCUUCCGCAAUGGGCGAAAGCUUGACGGAGCAACGCCGAGUGAGUGAUGACGGUCUUCGGAUCGUAAAACUCUGUUAUUAGGGAAGAACAAAUGUGUAAGUAAAUAUGCACGUCUUGACGGUACCUAAUAAGAAAGCAACGGCUAACUACGUG
Molecule: ribosomal RNA, 497 nt
Filed under: uncultured bacterium
Lineage: Bacteria
Description: partial 16S ribosomal RNA
Rfam family: Bacterial small subunit ribosomal RNA
Source: RNAcentral